GGGGGUGAACCAGAUUCGACGCGUUUUCGGAUCCGGAGGUAGCGUGCCGAGGUUUCCCGGAACCUCGUGAAACACCGGGAAAACACACAACUGCCAACGACAACUUGGCUUUGGCCGCGUAACUAACGUGGCCCGUUCACUGGAUUACCCGCCCGAGGUGGUCCUUUGAGCGCCGAUAAUUCGGGCUGGUCCCUGCAGAACGCCGCGGGCUGCAGGGGCGAGAUGGCGCAAGCCGGACGUGGCUGGCUGACAGCGGGCCGUCGAGGAGCCCAGCGGUUGGCGAGACGAGAUCCUCGAAUACGCACGUAGAAACCAAUGGGGAAGGCUUCGCGGACCCGGGUGCGAUUCCCGGCACCUCCAUUU
RNAcentral lists this transfer-messenger RNA (363 nucleotides) under Gemmatimonadota. RNAcentral describes it as "JABDQB01 sp023554335 Standard tmRNA". It matches the Rfam family "transfer-messenger RNA". From Rfam's summary of the family: Bacterial tmRNA, also known as 10Sa RNA or SsrA, is named for its dual tRNA and mRNA-like properties. Its role is to liberate the mRNA from a stalled ribosome. Lineage: Bacteria; Pseudomonadati. The record is from RNAcentral. RNAcentral also lists the same sequence under 1 other name.